This 485-nucleotide ribosomal RNA is filed under the name uncultured bacterium. RNAcentral describes it as "bacterial SSU rRNA". It matches the Rfam family "Bacterial small subunit ribosomal RNA", at positions 30 to 507 of the family's 1533-position model. The record is from RNAcentral.
AUUGAACGCUGGCGGCAUGCCUUACACAUGCAAGUCGAACGGUAACAGGGAGCUUGCUCCGCUGACGAGUGGCGAACGGGUGAGUAAUGUAUCGGAACGUACCAUUCAGUGGGGGAUAACGUAGCGAAAGUUACGCUAAUACCGCAUAUUCUGUGAGCAGGAAAGCAGGGGAUCGCAAGACCUCGCGCUAUUGGAGCAGCCGAUGUCCGAUUAGGUAGUUGGUGGGGUAAAGGCCUACCAAGCCUGCGAUCGGUAACUGGUCUGAGAGGGUGACCGGCCCGAGGGGCACUGAGAUACGGGUCCCACUCCUACGGGAGGCAGCAGGCUAGAAAUUUGGGCAAUGGGGGAAACCCUGACCCAGUGACGCCGCGUGCAGGAAGGAGCCCUUCGGGGUGUAAACUGCUGUCGUGUAGGGAGAAGGGUACUAAGGUGAACAAUCUUAGUACUUGACGGUACUACAGGAGGAAGCCCAGGCUAACCUCGUG